Molecule: microRNA precursor, 85 nt
Filed under: Eptesicus fuscus (big brown bat)
Lineage: Eukaryota; Metazoa; Chordata; Mammalia; Chiroptera; Vespertilionidae
Description: microRNA efu-mir-9194 precursor
Source: miRBase by way of RNAcentral
GGCUCGGGGACUGGGGGACAGGGGGGGCCGAGAGGUGCUCCAUGCACUUCAUGGUGACCGUUUGCCCAUUCGGUUGUGACGCCAC